This 492-nucleotide ribosomal RNA is filed under the name uncultured bacterium. Its description in RNAcentral is "partial 16S ribosomal RNA". It matches the Rfam family "Bacterial small subunit ribosomal RNA", at positions 29 to 507 of the family's 1533-position model. The record is from RNAcentral.
AGUGAACGCUGGCGGUAGGCCUAACACAUGCAAGUCGAACGGCAGCACAGUAAGAGCUUGCUCUUACGGGUGGCGAGUGGCGGACGGGUGAGGAAUACAUCGGAAUCUACUUUUUCGUGGGGGAUAACGUAGGGAAACUUACGCUAAUACCGCAUACGACCUACGGGUGAAAGCAGGGGAUCUUCGGACCUUGCGCGAUUGAAUGAGCCGAUGUCGGAUUAGCUAGUUGGCGGGGUAAAGGCCCACCAAGGCGACGAUCCGUAGCUGGUCUGAGAGGAUGAUCAGCCACACUGGAACUGAGACACGGUCCAGACUCCUACGGGAGGCAGCAGUGGGGAAUAUUGGACAAUGGGCGCAAGCCUGAUCCAGCCAUACCGCGUAGGUGAAGAAGGCCUUCGGGUUGUAAAGCCCUUUUGUCGGGAAAGAAAAGCAGCAGGUUAAUACCCCGCUGUUCUGACGGUACCCAAAGAAUAAGCACCGGCUAACUUCAUG